CAACCAACUUUCCUUGAGAAUAAAGCGUAUUUGUCGUUGCAUCCUUAACAUAAACGCAACGAUUCAGGUGCUUUUCUUUCAAUCAAAGUUAAUAC
Molecule: microRNA precursor, 95 nt
Filed under: Tribolium castaneum (red flour beetle)
Lineage: Eukaryota; Metazoa; Arthropoda; Insecta; Coleoptera; Tenebrionidae
Description: microRNA tca-mir-11621 precursor
Source: miRBase by way of RNAcentral